UGGCCAAUUAAUUAUAUAUAUGUUCAUUAUAUGAUAACUAGGCUCGUGCGUGUGUACAAGUCUCCAUUUGUCACCUAGCACAGUAUCUGACACUUCAAUCCAAUCCACUCACUACAAGUGAGUUCAUACCCCUUUAACUAACCUUUGAAAUACUUUUAAAUGUUUUAAAUGCUUUUAUGGGGGGAGGGGAAUACAAGUUGAAUACUUAUAGUUAUUACAUCUAUCACAUGUGAUUAAUAACUACAAAACCAAUGAUUUUCUUACUGUUCAAACUGUUUAUCAAAAUGUUUUGCUUUAAACUGUUUACAAACUCUUUUACUUAUCAAAUACUUUUACUUAAACUCUGUUAUACUUAUUAUCAAUUGCAUGUCCAUAUAUGUAUAGUUAUAUAAGAAAUGUUUAAAAGGCUUAGGAAGGCCGCCCGCCCUAUUUCCUUUUCGCGCUUGAGAUGUGGUCUGGUGGGAUAUCGGGUACCCUUCAGAAGGUCGUUUAAAUAUUAGUUAUAUAUCAUGUGUACAUAUAUAGUCAUAAAAGUUCUCCUAGUUCAUUCAAUACCCUUGGGUAGCAAGGGUAUACUUCCAUGUUCAUACAUACCAGUUAUAUUACUAGUAAACUACAAUAGGCGUAGUUUAGGGUUUUACUAAUGCUAAUACUAGAACACUAAAUCACACAAAGAGUCAGUUCAUACAUGAAACAUAAUACAUAGUGAUGAGAAACAAACAUAUUACAUAGUGAUGAGAAACAAACAUAAUACAUAGUGAUGAGAAACAAACAUUAUACAUAGUAAUGAGAAACAAACAUAAUACAUAGUGAUGAGAAACAAACAUAAUACAUAGUGAAGAGAAACAAACAUACAUGCUAGACAGAGGAAGAACACACAAUACAGCUAGCACAUACAUUACAUAUACAUUACAUAUAUAUUACAUUUAGUUAUGUGAGCUAUUAAACGGGUCAUGGCACUACCUGCCAUGACCGUUUUUGUAUCCAGAAUCUCCUUAAUUAAGGAGCGUAUGAGUUUGCGUAUAGAUCUAUACUGGAUUGACUAUCCUACACCUUGCUGCUCGCUAUAGUGGGACUUGCAAGUCUAUGGGUGCCAAAUGUCAUUUCUUACGGCGUCUUACAUCGUCGUUUUACUAUUGAGUCGGUAGCAGGAUAUAGGCCGAUCACAUGUUACUUUAAAUUUCAUUUUGUUUAAGGUAGUUAGUACAGCAGUAGUCACUUAUUAUAAAACUACAAUACUUUAUUAUUUCCCCAUUACAUUCACUUCGUGAACAUUCACACGAUGCACGGUAAUGUAAAUACUAUAUUUUUGGUUAAUGAUGAUUUGGGAAAAUACACACUCUUACAACAGACACAGAUAGAUACUAGAUGCCUUGGUAGAAGGAUACUUUUAGUAGGAAACAUAUGGUUUUCUAGGAUGUUCAAAACAAUUUUAUACUUACAGUUCAUAUACAUACAAAUACUUACAUUUCAAAUACAUACAAACACUUAAAUUUCAAAUACAUACAAAUGCUUACAUAAAAAUUAAGACACUAAAAUACUUAUGAUCUCACCAGCUUUAAAGCUGAUACUCUCUUUCAAAAUAACUUGUAUCCUCAGGUAAACAGUGGACAGGUACCGAUGCAAGGUUUAGAGAAGAUGGAACUCGUUCAAGACUCGUCUUUCUUUUUGAAUUAUACUUUAGUGUUUAUCAUAAUUUGACAGAACACACUUGUAUUAAAAUUAUAUUAUUAAUGCAAUGGAUGAAGUUGUUGCUUGUUUACUACUUUUCAUUGUUGUGAUACUGAACAUGAUGUCCUCCGCCCCAGAAUGUUUCCGCCGUUCAUGGUUUGGGGGUGUGACAGAUUGGUAUCAAAGCAUUGUUUAUAGUGAAUUAAGUAUAUCAAUCCAUAAAAGAUAUACUAACUAUAAAUACAUAGGGAUUAAAAAUACUCUGACCAAGAGUUUAUACAUUAAAUAGUAAAAUAUUUAAUUAAGUAUACAUGCCUGCAUUCAUACUAAAAUCAGUGUCACUAGGAACGUAUAAAAGAAUUACGAUUGUUGGGCAACACAGGUGGACUUAGAGACAUAUGGUCAAAACUGGGAAGAUAUAGCCUGAUCAACUAUAUUAUCCGAGGGUUGACUAGCAUGUGCCUAAGUGUAGUUGUGUGGUUGCAACAAGUCUAAAAUCUUACCAACAAUACCACAAUGAGAACAGUAGAACAUAACAUUAAACUUAAAAUACUAUAGGGGUAUUUGGUGUUACUAUAAGUACUUUAUACUUGAGAACUAAAACGGGAUCUUCAUUACGAAGUUGAUAGUUGCUAAGUGGAUACACUAAGGCUAUAUGUAACUAGGAUGUUAUAGACUUAGAAUCUGUGAAAAUUUUGCUUUACCCCUAUUCUUUGUGAAUUUGGAGUUAAGGUCACUUAUUCGAAGGCCUAUCCUAUUUCGAUUACAUAUAACUGGUAUGCACUUCACAAAUAGUGAUGUAACUAAUGAAGAUUAUCUAAAUAAUUAUCUAGAUAGUUCGUCUAAUAAUUAUUUUCUUACCCCAAUUCUUGCGUAGAUAACAUGGCUGGACUCCAUCCCCACGGCAACCAGUACCUUCCGAAUGAGGUCAUUGCUGGAUGGUUUGAAGAAGAACCAGAGAAUGAUCAUCCUAUCCCUGUUAAUGAUCACCAUGAUGAAGACCUUUCGGACGGUGCUAACUCUGAACCCGAGGUUGAGAACCUACCCCAGGCAGCUCCCUUUCCAAUUCCUAACCCUCGUCCGACUUUUAAAGGCUCGACGCCUGAGUGGGUGCAAUGCUUGGAAACAUGGAGCCAAGGACGAGAUCAGCCCAUGCCAUUUAAUGGUGACCAAAGAUUUUAUGACCUGAGUAAUGGGGGCUCAGCAGACAGAAUCUUGCCAAUCUUGGUCCGCAGAGUGGGCCAAAAUGAGAUUCAAGGCAGGACAACCCUACAUCAGAUCACAGAAGUUGUCGCCGAUGCGAGAAUGCAAACCCUCCGCACCAUUCGUCUAGAAGAUGCUCGUGAGAGAUCUGAGAGAGACCAUUAAACCCUGCUACAAGUACUGGCCGAAUCACGAGUCGAAGUCAUAGAACUCCAUGUACGCCAGAGGGUGUACGAAAGACACCUACUUGAUGUGGAACGUCAACUGGCUGAGCUGAGAGUUCACCAGAGGGAUGACCGUCGCCAGUAGUAGAUGCUUUACUUUAUUUUUCCUUGUUAAAAGGGAAUCGUUUUUCUGUCUAUGCCCGAUGUGGCAUUUUCUAUGAAAAUAUUUUGUACUGUAAGUACUUUUGGUUAGGUCUUUAUGCUGUCAAGAACUAUCUUCUCAAGAUAUGAUGUAAGACCUUUUACAAGGUCAUUUUCCCGAACUUUUACGUCAUGAAUAUCAAAGAUAUUGACAGUCGGCUAACUUUUGUGUCAUUCUUUAUUCAAGUACUCUCAUCAUACUCUCAUUUGAGUAUACUUGAAACAUGCUUUAGUCAAGUAAUUGGACUAUAGCAAUUUAGCUCCGGAGACAUUUCCAAGUCUCUUUUAGUGGUUGGAUCAUGUUAUUCACCAACCAACGAUACCUCGGCUUGAACGACAAACGUCAUGAGACCAUUCUACAAACUCACUUCCAUUAAGUACUAGGACUGCAUCAUAGGGAUGUAGGUCAAACUUUCGAGGACAUACUCUUACUAUUUUCUUGAACAAUUGAAGUACAUCUAGGGUCAAACCAAAAUCGCUCACAAAAUCCUUAUCUUUCGUGUUACAGAAUCAUGUCAUCGUUUGGGAGCAGCCAGCUGAACAACGAAACCUCUGCUUUUCCUAUGGACGCCACUACUUUUCAAACCACAGUUACAGCUACCGUCAUGGCUGUCGUGACAGCUGUCCUUGCAAACCGCAGCACUAUCAACGCAAGCAAGACUGAAAAAGGAAUUGGGAAUCCCGAUCGUGUUAACGAUCCGAGAAAUCAACAAAUAGUAACAGUCGCCACUGCCCAAAACAACAACUCAGAGUUCAAGAAAAGAAAACAUCAAGCCAAAGUGGAACGCAAACAUUUCAGAGAAAUGCCAUGCAAAAACAACAAGUGGAAACCGCUGCCAUCCCAGUACCGAGCAGACCAUAUGAAGGAACACUCCCGAAGUGCGACCGGUGGAACUAUCACCACAAAGGAAUUUGUCGAGUUCGGCAAUGCAAUAAUUGCAAAAAGAUGGGGCACAUUGCUUGUUUUUGUAGAACUACCCCCACCACUGGAGCAAGCCUAGUUUGCUAUAGUUGUGGUGAGGCAGGGCACUAUUACAGAGAUUGCCCAAAAGAGAAGAUCAACGAAAGCAACCGUGUCCCCAUAACUUCUACUAGACACACUACUAGAAACACAGCCUUUUACGACGCGCAAACCACGACACUCCUUGAUUUAUGUNNNNNNNNNNNNNNNNNNNNNNNNNNNNNNNNNNNNNNNNNNNNNNNNNNNNNNNNNNNNNNNNNNNNNNNNNNNNNNNNNNNNNNNNNNNNNNNNNNNNACACUUACUAGAUUGAAGAUAUUGAACAAAACUUGGAUGAUACUUAAGAGUGUUUUUGAGUUUACUCUUUUUGGUGAUUGUGGAGUAAACAUAAAAUGACUAGUUUGGGGAGUAAACUCAUGUUUAAGCAUGAGUUUACGUUUUUGGGAAGAUUUUUCGGCCCAGACAUAAAAGUUUGUCCAUGAACUUCUAAGACACAAGGCGUUUGCAGCUUUGAAAUUUCAAGACUCGAGAUGACACUUCUUUUCACCUGUUCGUUUAAAGAAUAAUAUUAAAAUAAUCAAACGAAAUUUAAAUUUGCUAAAAAUAAGUAAUAAUGUAAUUGACCUAUAAAUCGAAGUGAUUGAAUUUUAGGGUUUGACCGAAUGAAAAUUUCAAGUUGUCACAUCAUCCCCCUAUUAAGGGGAAUUUCGUCCCGAAAUUAGAAUUUAGGUAAGGAAGUAGGUAUGAAUGGUCGAGUCGAGAGGUGGGAAACUUCCUAAUAGAUUGUUUCACGCGCUCAUAAGUGAAUUCGGGUCCUCGGUUGGUAUCCCAACGAACCUUUACUAACUGGCGACGACGUUGCUUCGUCCGCUUGACCUCUCGGUUGAGGGUCACUACGGUUCUAUUACGAAGGCAAGGAUCUCGUUAAUCUCAAUCUCGUUAGGCUAGACUUACGAGAUUCCUAACGGAAAGGUACGGUUUCAAGAUUGAGACGCGAAGGGUAAAAUGUACGUUACUGAGUUCGCGGAGUAGGUUUAGUCUGUGAGAUACAGGACCGAUUCUGGUAAGAAUCUUGGAGGUCCUGAUUAUCUUGGAUUUAGCUUUCCAUGCUUUACAAAGCGCAUUAAGCCAUUCCUAGAGUGAGUUUUCCUAAAGAACUUGGUCUCUCACUUGGAAUCUCCAAGGUUUCUUUUUCUUGUUUAUCUUCCCAGUCAAGGGCCACCCCCUGCUGGGUCAAAGUUGUAAAGGUUCCUGUAAUUUGCGAGGAGUUCUGAAUGGACUACGAUAGUAGGUCUGCAAGACCUAGAAUUUGGCAAAUUUCUGUCGGCGUCUUCGGUGUCGACAAAUUCCCAACGGUUUCGGAUAAAUUGACAGAGUACUCAAAGAUUUCCACAACACUAAUAGUGUGUCUUAGGAAAUUUUGACUCUUCAAUUCCAAAACUCGUGUUCAGAGAACUUUGCGAGAAGUAUCUCCGAGGGUAAUGUUUCCGCUGGUUCCUUCUUACUACGAGGGUAUAUAAGUAAGUCGUUACAUGGAGAAUGACGAACUGAUCCAUGUAAUAAAGACGGACUCUAUUCAUUAAACCCAUGAAUGCUUCGGGCGCAUUGGUCCUAUCCGAGGGGUAUCAGUACGAACUCGAAGUGUCCGCAUCGAGUUCAGAAGGUAGUCUUCUGGACAUCCUUCCCUAACACUCAAAUUAGUGAUAUUCGGAUCUCAAGUCCAUUUCUGAAAGUCAUCCUUUCCUUGUGUUUGCUCAACCAUUUCAUCUAUGCGGGGCAGAGACAACGAUUUCUAAUGGAAAUCUUGACGGAGUCCUUGAUAGCCGAGGAACAUAUGAUGCAAUCCGUCGACUUCUGGAAGAAUNGGUGAGAAGCCUGGUCUUCCAAUUCUAUAGCUGAGUAGUUCGCUAAAUUGUCCGGACUGUUCUUGUAUCUCCGUAGGUGUUUAGACUGAAGGGGGAUCUGUUUAUAGGAGUCAUACUGGGUUCUAAGUUUGUUCACAUGACGAUGCGAUACUCGUAGUCUUGGGCAGUUCUCCGUCCCGAAGUUCAUAUUUAGGAUUCAUACCUGGUUUCACAAUCACAAUCUCGCGUAUACGAGUCGUAUAUAAUUAAGAUUGAAAAGGUAGUCGAGUAACUGAUUCGCCUUUAAGCUCAUAUCCCAUCGAGGAAAAAGAAGUUAAAGUGGAAAUCCUCAAUUCUAAACCUGUAGAACCUUGAUUAUAUAUCACUCUNNNNNNNNNNNNNNNNNNNNNNNNNNNNNNNNNNNNNNNNNNNNNNNNNNNNNNNNNNNNNNNNNNNNNNNNNNNNNNNNNNNNNNNNNNNNNNNNNNNNGUCUAAAUCAAACCUAGACUAUUGCCAUGAUUGAGCUAAGGACUUCGAAACCCCCAAAUACCAUAAACUUGGGUUUAAGGUAGUAAACUCAAAGGAAAAUGGUAAAGGGACCGUUAACUCCAUUUAGGAGUGACAUGACGCCCUAGAUCUUUCCAAAGGCCUAACCACCAAGUAGAAAUGCUUCAAAGGACUUGUAAUACAUCAAAACAAUAUAUGUCCAUAAAGUGUAGAGUUUACGACCGUAAACCCUUGAGUUUACUGCCGUAAACUCCUUGGGUAAUGGUCAUUAGAACCAUAAACUCCAAAGGAGUUUAUCCUUGAACUCCAAACACUCUAGCUUUGCCCUACAAACACUUGGAUGCAACCCUUGUGAUCUUUAACACUUGAAACAAAGUGUUUUCAUGUUCUAGAGUGUCCCAACUUAAUUUAUUAGUUAUAAAUUGGCUAAUUAGUUAUAUAUAUGUUCAUUAUAUGAUAACUAGGCUCGUGCGUGUGUACAAGUCUCCAUUUGUCACCUAGCACANGUUCAUCCGUACCACUCACUACAGGUGAGUUCAUACCCCUUUAACUAACCUUUGAAAUACUUUUAAAUGUUUUAAAUGAUUUUAUGGGGGGAGGGGGAAUACAAGUUGAAUACUUAUAGUUAUUACAUCAAUCACAUGUGAUUAAUAACUACAAAACCAAUGAUUUUCUUACUGUUCAAACUGUUUAUCAAAAUGUUUUGCUUCAAACUGUUUACAAACUCUUUUACUUAUCAAAUACUUUUACUUAAACUCUGUUAUAAUUAUUAUCAAUUGCAUGUCCAUAUGUGUAUAGUUAUACAAGAAAUGUUUAAAACGCUUAGGAAGGCCGCCCACCCUAUUUCCUUUUCGCGCUUGAGAUGUGGUCUGGUGGGAUAUCGGGUACCCAUCCGAAGGUCGUUUAAAUAUUAGUUAUAUAUCAUGUGUACAUAUAUAGUCAUAAAAGUUCUCCCAGUUCAUUCAAUACCCUUGGGUAGCAAGGGUAUACUUCCAUGUUCAUACGUACCAGUUAUAUUACUAGUAAACUACAAUAGGCGUAGUUUAGGGUUUUACUAAUGCUAAUACAAGAACAAUANAAUGAGAAACAAACAUUAUACAUAGUAAUGAGAAACAAACAUAAUACAUAGUGAUGAGAAACAAACAUAAUAAAUAGUGAAGAGAAACAAACAUACAUGCUAGACAGAGGAAGAACACACAAUACAACUAGCACAUACAUUACAUAUACAUUACAUAUAC
RNAcentral lists this long non-coding RNA (7787 nucleotides) under Lactuca sativa (garden lettuce). RNAcentral describes it as "long non-coding RNA (LSAT_LNC003987)". Lineage: Eukaryota; Viridiplantae; Streptophyta; Magnoliopsida; Asterales; Asteraceae. The record is from RNAcentral.